RNAcentral lists this ribosomal RNA (1475 nucleotides) under uncultured bacterium. RNAcentral's name for it is "bacterial SSU rRNA". It matches the Rfam family "Bacterial small subunit ribosomal RNA". The record is from RNAcentral.
AGAGUUUGAUCCUGGCUCAGAUCGAACGCUGGCGGCAUGGCUAAAACAUGCAAGUCGAACGCGAAAGUCACUUCGGUGGCGAGUAGAGUGGCGAACGGGCGAGUAAUGCGUUUCUAACGUACCCCAAGGUCAGGGAUAGCUCAUCGAAAGGUGGGGUAAUACCUGAUGAUCCCAACCGGACGCAUGUCUGGAUGGGCAAAGGCUUGCUGCCUUGGGAUCGGGAAACGUGCUAUCAGGUUGUUGGUGGGGUAAUGGCCUACCAAGCCUUAGACGGCUAGCGGGUGUGAGAGCAUGACCCGCCGCAUCGGGACUGAGACACUGCCCGGACUCCUACGGGAGGCUGCAGUAACGAAUCUUCCGCAAUGCGCGAAAGCGUGACGGAGCAAUGCCGCGUGCAGGAUGAAGCCCUUCGGGGUGUAAACUGCUGUCAGGGUCUAGCAACACAAUGAGCAGACCCAAAGGAAGGGCCGGCUAACUUCGUGCCAGCAGCCGCGGUAAUACGAAGGGCCCGAGCGUUGAUCGGAUUCACUGGGCUUAAAGGGUGCGUAGGCGGGAGCGUAAGUGCUUUGUGAAAUCCCACGGCUCAACCGUGGAACUGCAGGGCAUACUGCGUUCCUUGAGGCUGGUAGAGGCUGUCGGAACUCUAGGUGUAGCGGUGAAAUGCGUAGAUAUUUAGAGGAACGCCCAUGGUGAAGACAGGCAGCUGGGCCAGAACUGACGCUGAGGCACGANAGCGUGGGGAGCAAACAGGAUUAGAUACCCUGGUAGUCCACGCCGUAAACGAUGUGCACUAGAUUUAGGAGGUUUUGACGCCGACUGAGUCGAAGUAAAAACAAUAAGUGCACCGCCUGGGGAGUACGGUCGCAAGGCUAAAACUCAAAGGAAUUGACGGGGGCUCACACAAGCGGUGGAGCAUGUGGCUUAAUUCGAAGCAACGCGAUGAACCUUAUCCUGGGAUUGACAUGUAUGGAUUAGCUUCUAGAAACAGGAGUGACGCGGCUUGCCGUGGAACAUACACAGGUGCUGCAUGGCUGUCGUCAGCUCGUGCUGUGAAGUGUCGGGUUAAGUCCCUUAACGAGCGAAACCCUUGCCGUUAGUUGCUACCAGGUAAUGCUGAGGACUCUAGCGGGACUGCCGGUGUCAAACCGGAGGAAGGUGGGGAUGACGUCAAGUCCUCAUGGCCUUUAUGCCCAGGGCUGCACACGUGCUACAAUGGCAAGUACAAAGCGACGCAAUACCGCGAGGUGGAGCAAAUCGCAAAAAACUUGCCCCAGUUCGGAUUGUAGUCUGCAACUCGACUACAUGAAGUUGGAAUCGCUAGUAAUCGCGUAUCAGCUACGACGCGGUGAAUACGUUCCUGAGCCUUGUACACACCGCCCGUCAAGUCAUGGAAGCCGGGAGUACCCGAAGCCGCACCGAUUCAGGUGUGUCGACGGUAAGCUUGGUGACUGGGACUAAGUCGUAACAAGGUAACC